AUAGAUGUGUUGGAAUUGGGAGACAAUUUCCGUUAAGGCCGGAAUGGCGAAAGCCGUGCAAGUUCGAGUCUUGCUAUCUAUA
This 82-nucleotide transfer RNA is filed under the name Purpureocillium takamizusanense. RNAcentral describes it as "tRNA-Leu". The record is from RNAcentral. Lineage: Eukaryota; Fungi; Ascomycota; Sordariomycetes; Hypocreales; Ophiocordycipitaceae.